RNAcentral lists this ribosomal RNA (253 nucleotides) under uncultured bacterium. Its description in RNAcentral is "partial 16S ribosomal RNA". It matches the Rfam family "Bacterial small subunit ribosomal RNA", at positions 524 to 776 of the family's 1533-position model. The record is from RNAcentral.
GACGGAGGGUGCGAGCGUUAUUCGGAAUCAUUGGGCGUAAAGAGCGCGUAGGCGGUCUAUUAAGUCGGGUGUGAAAUCCCGGGGCUCAACCCCGGAAGUGCACUUGAAACUAAUGGACUUGAGUAUGGGAGAGGGAAGUGGAAUUCCUGGUGUAGCGGUGAAAUGCGUAGAUAUCAGGAGGAACAUCGGUGGCGAAGGCGACUUCCUGGACCAAUACUGACGCUGAGGCGCGAAGGCGUGGGGAGCAAACAGG